Molecule: ribosomal RNA, 1620 nt
Filed under: Escherichia coli
Lineage: Bacteria; Pseudomonadati; Pseudomonadota; Gammaproteobacteria; Enterobacterales; Enterobacteriaceae
Description: bacterial LSU rRNA
Source: RNAcentral
AGCCCGCUCGCCGGAAGACCAAGGGUUCCUGUCCAACGUUAAUCGGGGCAGGGUGAGUCGACCCCUAAGGCGAGGCCGAAAGGCGUAGUCGAUGGGAAACAGGUUAAUAUUCCUGUACUUGGUGUUACUGCGAAGGGGGGACGGAGAAGGCUAUGUUGGCCGGGCGACGGUUGUCCCGGUUUAAGCGUGUAGGCUGGUUUUCCAGGCAAAUCCGGAAAAUCAAGGCUGAGGCGUGAUGACGAGGCACUACGGUGCUGAAGCAACAAAUGCCCUGCUUCCAGGAAAAGCCUCUAAGCAUCAGGUAACAUCAAAUCGUACCCCAAACCGACACAGGUGGUCAGGUAGAGAAUACCAAGGCGCUUGAGAGAACUCGGGUGAAGGAACUAGGCAAAAUGGUGCCGUAACUUCGGGAGAAGGCACGCUGAUAYGUAGGUGAAGYSMCUUGCKSRUGGAGCUGAAAUCAGUCGAAGAUACCAGCUGGCUGCAACUGUUUAUUAAAAACACAGCACUGUGCAAACACGAAAGUGGACGUAUACGGUGUGACGCCUGCCCGGUGCCGGAAGGUUAAUUGAUGGGGUUAGCGGUAACGCGAAGCUCUUGAUCGAAGCCCCGGUAAACGGCGGCCGUAACUAUAACGGUCCUAAGGUAGCGAAAUUCCUUGUCGGGUAAGUUCCGACCUGCACGAAUGGCGUAAUGAUGGCCAGGCUGUCUCCACCCGAGACUCAGUGAAAUUGAACUCGCUGUGAAGAUGCAGUGUACCCGCGGCAAGACGGAAAGACCCCGUGAACCUUUACUAUAGCUUGACACUGAACAUUGAGCCUUGAUGUGUAGGAUAGGUGGGAGGCUUUGAAGUGUGGACGCCAGUCUGCAUGGAGCCGACCUUGAAAUACCACCCUUUAAUGUUUGAUGUUCUAACGUUGGCCCCUAAUCGGGGUUGCGGACAGUGUCUGGUGGGUAGUUUGACUGGGGCGGUCUCCUCCUAAAGAGUAACGGAGGAGCACGAAGGUUGGCUAAUCCUGGUCGGACAUCAGGAGGUUAGUGCAAUGGCAUAAGCCAGCUUGACUGCGAGCGUGACGGCGCGAGCAGGUGCGAAAGCAGGUCAUAGUGAUCCGGUGGUUCUGAAUGGAAGGGCCAUCGCUCAACGGAUAAAAGGUACUCCGGGGAUAACAGGCUGAUACCGCCCAAGAGUUCAUAUCGACGGCGGUGUUUGGCACCUCGAUGUCGGCUCAUCACAUCCUGGGGCUGAAGUAGGUCCCAAGGGUAUGGCUGUUCGCCAUUUAAAGUGGUACGCGAGCUGGGUUUAGAACGUCGUGAGACAGUUCGGUCCCUAUCUGCCGUGGGCGCUGGAGAACUGAGGGGGGCUGCUCCUAGUACGAGAGGACCGGAGUGGACGCAUCACUGGUGUUCGGGUUGUCAUGCCAAUGGCACUGCCCGGUAGCUAAAUGCGGAAGAGAUAAGUGCUGAAAGCAUCUAAGCACGAAACUUGCCCCGAGAUGAGUUCUCCCUGACUCCCUGAGAGUCCUGAAGGAACGUUGAAGACGACGACGUUGAUAGGCCGGGUGUGUAAGCGCAGCGAUGCGUUGAGCUAACCGGUACUAAUGAACCGUGAGGCUUAACCUU